CUUGAUACUGUGAACCAAAUUUAAAAGGCGUAAAUACUCUUUUUCUUUGCCAUCUCCGACAAACUCUUAUUUCAAAACCACUGUUUCCCAACCAGUUCACCAGAUAAGUUUUGAUUUUGUAAAGGCGAAUUUGAACUCAACCCACCCUCUGUUUUCGGUUGAAGAUCGGUCUCGCAAAGCUUUACUAGCUUCUUGUACCUAAUGAUUUGGAUUUUCAUUGACACAUAUGAAUUGAUGUAUUUUCGGGUGGAACAAAGAGCUAUCAGUUUGCAUCGAAAUGCAUGUCAGAAUUUACAUUUUGUCGUUUUAUUACGAUGGGAAGCUAGGCGACUCUACUUUAGGAACGUCGGGCCUAAGUGGAACCCCACCUACUCGGUGGCUACCGGGAAGAUCGUUGUGCCAACGAUGACUGUGUACGAAGAGAAGUUGCAGCAGUAAGCCGGGCAGAGCUUACGGAAGCAUUAGCGCUAUGAAAGUUAGUAUUUUGUUACAUUUUGAUGUGUAUAUCACGGGGUACCUGGGUGUUUAGUUUGUUUUCCUUGAUCCCAUGUCUUUUUUUGUACAUUUUGCUGUUAUCAUUGGGGUCUUGUAAAUGAUCUUUAUAUGGUCUGUAACUGAAAACUUGUGGGUUUGGUAUAUAAUAGGUCCGUCUUGGGUGUUGCAACAGUGCUUUUGAAUCCCCUUUGUUGUCAUAUAUCUAUGUACUUCAUGCAUACUCAUUUAUGCGUUACUGAGUGCUUGUUUAAUUUUUUUUAAAAACUCUUGAACUUGAUUAAUUUUGCUACCUUGGGUCAUGGUAUAAAAUGUAUAUGU
Molecule: long non-coding RNA, 813 nt
Organism: Papaver somniferum (opium poppy)
Lineage: Eukaryota; Viridiplantae; Streptophyta; Magnoliopsida; Ranunculales; Papaveraceae
Exons: 4
Source: RefSeq, a predicted model, not a curated record